Molecule: ribosomal RNA, 492 nt
Filed under: uncultured bacterium
Lineage: Bacteria
Description: partial 16S ribosomal RNA
Rfam family: Bacterial small subunit ribosomal RNA
Source: RNAcentral
AGUGAACGCUGGCGGUAGGCCUAACACAUGCAAGUCGAACGGCAGCACAGUAAGAGCUUGCUCUUACGGGUGGCGAGUGGCGGACGGGUGAGGAAUACAUCGGAAUCUACUUUUUCGUGGGGGAUAACGUAGGGAAACUUACGCUAAUACCGCAUACGACCUACGGGUGAAAGCAGGGGAUCUUCGGACCUUGCGCGAUUGAAUGAGCCGAUGUCGGAUUAGCUAGUUGGCGGGGUAAAGGCCCACCAAGGGGACGAUCCGUAGCUGGUGUGAGAGGAUGGUCAGCCACCCUGGAAGUGGGACACGGACCAUACUACUACGGGAGGCAGCAGUGGGGAAUAUUGGACAAUGGGCGCAAGCCUGAUCCAGCCAGACCGCGUGGGUGAAGAAGGCCUUCGGGUUGUAAAGCCCUUUUGUUGGGAAAGAAAAGCAGCAGGUUAAUACCCCGCUGUUCUGACGGUACCCAAAGAAUAAGCACCGGCUAACUUCGUG